GUUGUGCAUCCAUUCCACCCGCAAACACCUCUCCUCGUUCCCCAUAUCUCAUAAUCAUCGGAUUUUCCCAGAAACAGUAAUCGCUGCCGCCGUGAAGAACCCAACUGUGGCCGGCCUUACUCGGAACUCUUAGAACACCACCUCGUCGCUGAGAACACCGCCGUGGACACUCCCUCCGCCGACCCACUGCUUUGUCCCUUCACUCGUCCUCCUGACCGUCGUCCUUGAGUCCUAGUGAGUUACUGAAGCUUAUCGUACUCCCGGUUCGAACGCUACCACGCUGUAUCACUAGGAAUGGGUCCGUGAAGAUUUCGGGUCCGCGGGUGCUCAUAGGCUGAGCUCUUAGAUGGAGUUCGUACCAGAUUUUUUAUCCCUAGAGUGGCGCCAAGAGUUGAAUUAGGUGUAAGAGCAAAUUUGAGCGUGGAUUGUGGGGGUAUGGCGGCCUACGCAAGUUCACCGGACUGAUUUCGUCGCCGUCCAUGAAUGGGGACCCGGUUGUCUGAAGGAGAAAGAAAGGGGGAUCUCUUUGUAAAUGUCAGUGACUAAGAAAACAGUGCCUUGGAUUAGCCUUCAGUUAUUCAAAUGCCCAGGGAGUUCUGUGAAAAAGGGCUCGCGCGGGCGUGGACGCGGGCGCGUUCCCCUGUUCGCAGGCUGACUCGGGCCAGAUUUGGCCCGUCACUAUUCAUUGUUUCUUCUUUUCUUUUUACUGCCAGCUUGGGAAGUUUGUAUAAAAUAGUAGAAAAUCGGUAAAA
Molecule: long non-coding RNA, 752 nt
Organism: Zea mays
Lineage: Eukaryota; Viridiplantae; Streptophyta; Magnoliopsida; Poales; Poaceae
Exons: 2
Source: RefSeq, a predicted model, not a curated record